GCGUACGGGUUGCGGAACACGUGUGCACUGCCUUUAUCUGGGGGAUAGCCUUUCGAAGGGAAGAUUAAUACCCCAUAAUAUGUUGAAUGGCAUCAUUCGACAUUGAAAACUCCGGUGGAUAGAGAUGGGCACGCGCAAGAUUAGAUAGUUGGUGAGGUAACGGCUCACCAAGUCUACGAUCUUUAGGGGGCCUGAGAGGGUGAUCCCCCACACUGGUACUGAGACACGGACCAGACUCCUACGGGAGGCAGCAGUGAGGAAUAUUGGACAAUGGGUGAGAGCCUGAUCCAGCCAUCCCGCGUGAAGGACGACUGCCCUAUGGGUUGUAAACUUCUUUUGUAUAGGGAUAAACCUACCCUCGUGAGGGUAGCUGAAGGUACUAUACGAAUAACACCGGCUAACUCCGUGCCACACCGGGUAUAACGGAGGGUGCAACGUUAUCCGGAUUAUGGUUUAGGGUCUGUAGGCGGAUCUGUAAGUCAGUGGUGAAUCUCACAGGUUUAUUGUGAAACUGGGCAUUGGAUACUGGGGUCUUGGAGUUGGUUGGUGAAGUAGUUGGAAUAAGUUAGUGGUAGGGGGAAAUUGGCUUAAUUUUAUUUA
Molecule: ribosomal RNA, 600 nt
Filed under: uncultured bacterium
Lineage: Bacteria
Description: bacterial SSU rRNA
Rfam family: Bacterial small subunit ribosomal RNA
Source: RNAcentral